UGGGGAAUUUUGGACAAUGGGCGCAAGCCUGAUCCAGCCAUGCCGCGUGCGGGAAGAAGGCCCUCGGGUUGUAAACCGCUUUUGUCAGGGAAGAAAUCUUCUGAGUUAAUACCUCGGGAGGAUGACGGUACCUGAAGAAUAAGCACCGGCUAACUACGUGCCAGCAGCCGCGGUAAUACGUAGGGUGCAAGCGUUAAUCGGAAUUACUGGGCGUAAAGCGUGCGCAGGCGGUUUUGUAAGACAGAGGUGAAAUCCCCGGGCUCAACCUGGGAACUGCCUUUGUGACUGCAAGGCUUGAGUGCGGCAGAGGGGGGAUGGAAUUCCGCGUGUAGCAGUGAAAUGCGUAGAUAUGCGGAGGAACACCGAUGGCGAAGGCAAUCCCCCUGGGCCUGCACUGACGCUCAUGCACGAAAGCGUGGGGAGCAAACAGGAUUAGAUACCCUGGUAGUCCACGCCCUAAACGAUGUCAACUGGUUGUUGGGAAGGUUCCUUCUCAGUAACGUAGCUAACGCGUGAAGUUGACCGCCUGGGGAGUACGGCCGCAAGGUUGAAACUCAAAUGAAUUGACGGGGUCAUAGCUGUUU
RNAcentral lists this ribosomal RNA (584 nucleotides) under uncultured bacterium. RNAcentral's name for it is "partial 16S ribosomal RNA". It matches the Rfam family "Bacterial small subunit ribosomal RNA", at positions 355 to 935 of the family's 1533-position model. The record is from RNAcentral.